GUAUGUAGCUCAGUGGUAGAGCACUUGCCUACUAUAUGUGAGGCCCUAAGUUCAAUCCCCAGCAUUACA
RNAcentral lists this transfer RNA (69 nucleotides) under Marmota monax (woodchuck). RNAcentral describes it as "tRNA.Ser". The record is from RNAcentral. Lineage: Eukaryota; Metazoa; Chordata; Mammalia; Rodentia; Sciuridae.